ACCACCAUUUGUCCUUUGCAAACCUUCCGUAGCAAAAUUACAAAGAGUAAAGAACGGUAGCUUGUAGCCUAAAUAUCCAAGCUUGGGUAUACGGGGAAACCCACACCCUUGGGCGAAUGGGCGGCAAGGCCGAAUUGAGAAGG
Molecule: ribozyme, 143 nt
Filed under: Anopheles sinensis
Lineage: Eukaryota; Metazoa; Arthropoda; Insecta; Diptera; Culicidae
Description: drz-agam-2-2 ribozyme
Rfam family: drz-agam-2-2 ribozyme
Source: Rfam by way of RNAcentral